RNAcentral lists this ribosomal RNA (430 nucleotides) under uncultured bacterium. RNAcentral's name for it is "bacterial SSU rRNA". It matches the Rfam family "Bacterial small subunit ribosomal RNA", at positions 354 to 796 of the family's 1533-position model. The record is from RNAcentral.
GUGGGGAAUAUUGCGCAAUGGGCGGAAGCCUGACGCAGCGACGCCGCGUGGGGGAUGACGGCCUUCGGGUUGUAAACCUCUUUCAGUAGGGACGAAGCGGAAGUGACGGUACCUACAGAAGAAGCACCGGCCAACUACGUGCCAGCAGCCGCGGUAAUACGUAGGGUGCGAGCGUUGUCCGGAAUUAUUGGGCGUAAAGGGCACGCAGGCGGCGCGUCUGGCCCGGCGUGAAAGCCCCCGGCUCAACCGGGGAGGGUCGUCGGGGACCGGCGCGCUUGAGGGCAGCAGGGGGUGGUGGAAUGCCCGGUGUAGUGGUGAAAUGCGUAGAGAUCGGGCGGAACACCCGUGGCGAAGGCGGCCACCUGGGCUGCACCUGACGCUGAGGUGCGAAGGCGUGGGGAGCGAACGGGAUUAGAUACCCGUGUAGUCC